GUCUACAGCCCUACUAUCCUGAGCGCGCCUGAUCUCGGAAGCUAAGCAGGAUCAAGGCCUGGUUAGUACUUGGAUGGGAGACCCCUUGGGAAUACCAGGUGCUGUCGGCU
Molecule: ribosomal RNA, 110 nt
Filed under: Laticauda laticaudata (blue-ringed sea krait)
Lineage: Eukaryota; Metazoa; Chordata; Lepidosauria; Squamata; Elapidae
Source: RNAcentral